RNAcentral lists this ribosomal RNA (254 nucleotides) under uncultured microorganism. Its description in RNAcentral is "partial 16S ribosomal RNA". It matches the Rfam family "Archaeal small subunit ribosomal RNA", at positions 474 to 727 of the family's 1478-position model. The record is from RNAcentral.
CACCGGCGGCUCGAGUGGUGGCCACUUUUAUUGGGUCUAAAGCGUCCGUAGCCGGCUUGGCAAGUCCCCUGGGAAAUCUGGCGGCUUAACCGUCAGGCGUCCAGAGGAUACUGCCAGGCUUGGGACCGGGAGAGGUGAGAGGUACCUCAGGGGUAGGGGUGAAAUCUUGUAAUCCUCGAGGGACCACCAGUGGCGAAGGCGUCUCACCAGAACGGAUCCGACGGCAAGGGACGAAAGCUAGGGGCACGAACCGG